RNAcentral lists this ribosomal RNA (119 nucleotides) under Pteropus alecto (black flying fox). The record is from RNAcentral. Lineage: Eukaryota; Metazoa; Chordata; Mammalia; Chiroptera; Pteropodidae.
AUCUACAGCCAUGUUACCCUGAACAAGCCCGAUCCUGUCUGAUCUUGGAAGCUAAGCAGGGUUGGGCCCAGUUAGUACUUGGAUGGGAGACCACUUAGGAAGACCAGGUGCUCUAGGCA